Molecule: small RNA, 28 nt
Filed under: Bombyx mori (domestic silkworm)
Lineage: Eukaryota; Metazoa; Arthropoda; Insecta; Lepidoptera; Bombycidae
Description: ovarian small RNA-12265
Source: RNAcentral
AGUAUUACUGGUACUGCAUGAAUAUUGA